Molecule: ribosomal RNA, 253 nt
Filed under: uncultured bacterium
Lineage: Bacteria
Description: partial 16S ribosomal RNA
Rfam family: Bacterial small subunit ribosomal RNA
Source: RNAcentral
UACGGAGGGUGCGAACGUUAAUCGGAAUCACUGGGCGUAAAGCGCGCGUAGGCGGUUUGUUACGUGGGAUGUGAAAUCCCCGGGCUUAACCUGGGAAUUGCAUUUCAAACUGGCCGACUAGAGUACGGUAGAGGGAGGUAGAAUUUCCUGUGUAGCGGUGAAAUGCGUAGAUAUAGGAAGGAAUACCAGUGGCGAAGGCGGCCUCCUGGAUCGAUACUGACGCUGAGGCGCGAAAGCGUGGGGAGCAAACAGG